CAGGGCUUGACAUGCACGGUGCAGCCGUAGAGAUACGGUGUCCUUUGGGGUCGUGCACAGGUGGUGCAUGGUUGUCGUCAGCUCGUGUCGUGAGAUGUUGGGUUAAGUCCCGCAACGAGCGCAACCCUCGUCCUGUAUUGCCAGCAGCUCCUUCGGGAGGCUGGGGACUUGCGGGAGACUGCCGGGGUCAACUCGGAGGAAGGUGGGGACGACGUCAAAUCAUCAUGCCCCUUAUGUCCUGGGCUGCACGCAUGCUACAAUGGCCGGUACAGAGGGCUGCGAUACCGUGAGGUGGAGCGAAUCCCGUAAAGCCGGUCUCAGUUCGGAUCGGGGUCUGCAACUCGACCCCGUGAAGUCGGAGUCGCUAGUAAUCGCAGAUCAGCAACGCUGCGGUGAAUACGUUCCC
Molecule: ribosomal RNA, 406 nt
Filed under: uncultured bacterium
Lineage: Bacteria
Description: bacterial SSU rRNA
Rfam family: Bacterial small subunit ribosomal RNA
Source: RNAcentral